Molecule: transfer-messenger RNA, 398 nt
Filed under: Flavobacteriaceae bacterium
Lineage: Bacteria; Pseudomonadati; Bacteroidota; Flavobacteriia; Flavobacteriales; Flavobacteriaceae
Rfam family: transfer-messenger RNA
About the family: Bacterial tmRNA, also known as 10Sa RNA or SsrA, is named for its dual tRNA and mRNA-like properties. Its role is to liberate the mRNA from a stalled ribosome. To accomplish this part of the tmRNA is used as a reading frame that ends in a translation stop signal.
Source: RNAcentral
GGGGUCGACUGGUUUUGACAGCAUGACCCAUCCGACAGUAAGCAAGUCGAGCGCUGAAUUACAGCUCGUAAAUCUCAUUUUUCACACUUUUAAAUGGCGAGAAUAACUACGCUCUAGCUGCAUAAUAACAGAAUUAUAGUAUGUUAAUGCCAGGUCCCGACUAGGUCGGGAGGCCGGAUGUCUCCUAAUAGCCCUUGUUGACGGCGAUUAAUUUUGAGGCACCAUAAAAGUCAACAUCGAAACACAAUUGCAUCGCUUGUGUUUUUCAAUAAAGAUGAUAAGGUUAAGGUAGGCGGUUUUCGGUCAGCCUUAGUUCGAAAAUCAAACGAAAACUAAACUUGUAGAAAGCUCUUGUAUGGCUUGUUUGGACGCGGGUUCGACUCCCGCCGACUCCACAG